Molecule: long non-coding RNA, 21092 nt
Filed under: Homo sapiens (human)
Lineage: Eukaryota; Metazoa; Chordata; Mammalia; Primates; Hominidae
Description: non-protein coding RFPL1S:17
Source: RNAcentral
AUCUGCGCCUGCGCGGCGCCGGAGCCCUGGAUCUGGCCGAGCAGCUCGCCCACCUCUUCCUGGUGGUGGCGCCGCAGGUAGCCGCACUCCUCCUGCAGCGCCUGCGCCUUCUUCUGCAGGUCCACGCGCGCCGCCUCGGCCUCCUGCGCGAAGCGCGCCAGCGCGCGGGCCGCCGCCUCGGCCUCCUCUCGCUGCCGGGCCUCGUCGUCUAGGCGCUGGCGCACGUGCGCGAUGUCCUCGAGCAGGUGCUCCUGCUCCAGGCGUAGCUGACCGCGCGCCGCGCCCAGGCGCAGCACCGCGCCGCGCAUCUCGCGGACCUCGCGCUCGUACAGCUCGCCCAUAGCGGAGCGGCCCGCCUGCUGCUGCCGCAGCGCCGCAGCCUCGCCCUCCAGGCUGCGGUUGUGCGCCUCCAGCUGCCGCACCUUGUCGAUGUACCCGGCGAAGCGGUCGUUCAGCGCCUGCAGCUGCUCCUUCUCACUGCGUGAGGUGGCCACCGCCACCAUGCAGCCCUCCGGCCCGUUGCUCAGCGUGUCCAGCGAGUCGGUGCUUGAGGCGGCGCCUGCGCCACGGAAGCGGCUGGGCGAGGCGGACACGGAGCUCACGGACGUCCGUGUCCACGAGUGGAAGCCGCUGGAGGAGCCAGCGGCGGAGCGCGUCCCGCCUGCGCCACCCUUUCGGGCUAGCGCGUAGUGGAGGCUGCCGCCGCCAUGCAGCGGCGCGAACGGGGCGCCCAGCAGCGCGUCCGCGCCGCCGAAGCUCAUCAUGGCCUGAGCAGUAGAGAUGGGGUUUCACCGUGUUAACCAGGAAUGUCUCGAUCUCCUGACCUCGUGAUCCACCCGCCUCAGCCUCCCAAAGUGUUGGGAUUACAGGCGUGAGCUACCACGCCCGGCCCUAGGCUCCACAACUCUAAGAAGCUUUGGUGAGUAAACAGGCCUGAAGAGGUGAAAUCAUUUGCCAAGCACAGAACCAGGAUUCAAAACUUUGCAGUCUGGCUCUAGAAUGCCACCCCGUCCCACCUCAGGACUGGCCCUCUCCUGGGAAUUCCUUUCUCCCUCAUCCUCCAUGUCCUUUCUCUGUGGAGCCGUGUGCCCUGCCCAUAUCUAAGUACAUGUCCUGGGAUCCAGGGGAUGACAUAUACUGGAGUCCCUGGUGCCCAUGCCUUCUGACUCCUCCUAGACCAUGAGCUGAGGGGACAGAGAGUGGCUCUUGCACCUGGGGGGCUCAGGGUGUGUACAGUGGGUGAACAAAUGGGGGGACAUUUGAGGCCCAGGCAGAAGGACACAGAAUGUUCCCUGGUGGCAGCUUAGGAGGGGGCAGGGGCUGGGCAGAGGGGGCAGUUGUGUCCUUCCCUACCUGAACCUCUUCUACUCUCUGGGUCCACCGCCAUGAAAUUAUUCAUUCUGCCACAUUCUCUUGCACCCUGGCUUUCUGUCUGAAAUCCUUUCUCUGCCCCAGUAUUCACUCUCCGACUCUUCAGCUCACUCCUCUUAAUCCUUGAGACGUUCCAGGUUACCUGCUCCCUCAGGAGCUUUGCUAACCCCAAGGUUGUGAUAACUGCUUUCUUUAGGCUCCCACAGUUGCUCGUUCUAAUCCCAACACGGUAUUUGAAGGGCUAUUUAUUUCUCUCCUGACUGGACUGUUGGGAGCUUUGUAAGGGCAAGAGCCAUCUCUUAUUUAAUGUUGUAUUCCUAGGGCCUGGUACCAGAGUAUUAGUAAAGCUUGUUGAAUGAAUAAAUGCGAUUCAGCGGUGACUUCCCAUAGAUGCUACUCCAUGUUAUUCAUGUCACUGUAAUCCAUCUUGGGCUGCAUUUCACAAGCCAGCAUUGAAGAAAGCUGGGCUCAGAGAGCCUUAGAGACCAUCAGUGGUACAGAUGAGGAAACCGAGGGCAGGCCUGGUUCUCACUGCCUCGCCUCUGGUUCUGCGACUGGAGCUCCGUGAGGACAGGAACCAGGACUUGGAUGUUGUUUUCUGGCUUGGCAGGGUGCUUUGCCUGUGAUCACAGUCAUUGCCUUUUACUAGGUGCUUAUAAGGUGCCAGCCCCUUUAUGUGUUUUUCCACGUUUGCAUAUCCACAGGGAAGGGAGGUGCAAUUAUCCCCAUUUACAGAUCAACAAACAGGUGUAGGGAGGUUAAGUAAUUUGGUUAUUUAUCAGUGUCUUCUGGUUCCUUUCAUAAAUUUAUCUGGGUUCCACUGUAGCCUCACAACAUUGUCAUCAAACCCACUUUCGGCGGUGCAGUGGCUCACACCUCUAAUCCCAGCACUUUGGGCGGCCAAGCGAGAGGAUCGCUUGAGCCCAAGAGCUCGAGACCAGCCCAGGCAACACAGAAAAACCUCAUUUCUACAAAAAAUAAAAUAAAAUAAAAAUAGCUGGGUGUGGUGGCGCGCCUGUGGUCCCAGCUCCUCGGGAGGCUGAGGUGGGAGGAUCGCUUAAACCUGGAGAGGCGGAGGUUGCAGUGAGCCGAGAUCACGCCACGGCACUCCAGCCUCGGCAACAGAGCGAGACCCUGUCACAAACGAACACUCUCCAGAGGGGGAAACCGAGGCCCUGGGACUGCAGAACCGGUUUCUCUGCCUCGGCAUACUGCCUCGGCUGGCUCUGCGCUUGAUAGAAUCGCGCCAGCAACAGCGCCCCCUGCAGGCGACGGCGGGCACGCCUGCGUCACAGCCAUCCCCGCCCUUCCGCAGUGGGAACGCCCGAAUGCUUCAUCCGGCCUCGGAAGAUUGAAGAGCGCUCCUCCAAACUGGCUCAGGGAAGCCGGGCGCGCCGCCUUCAGCCCCGCCUUGGCCGCCGCGGCGUCGCAUCAGUGGCAUCCCCAGGGGCUGCAGGAAGGUAGCCGUAGCCUUGGCUGUCGUGGCUUCCCUCAUCGUAACGGCCUGGGGGCAGCGGUGCUCAAAGAACUCAGGGGGUGGGGCUCAGGUAGGGGCAUGGCCGGUGCUCUUCCUAGGGGCGGGAUCCUGGGAAAGGGGAUCGUCCCAGAAGGACCCAGCCACAAGCGAGGACACCGGUGCAUCAAGCCCUGGCGCCUGUGUUUCCGUGAACAGCGCCCUUCUCCUCCUCCCCAGACAUUGGUCCUGGCACCUGUGUGUCCGUGGGCAGCAGCCUCUUCCUCCUCCCCAGACCUCAGUUUCUGCACGUGUGAAAAGGGGGCUCUUCCAAGACUCUUACAUGAAUGCAAAAAUCGGGAUUUCGUCCAGCAUGCUCAGAAUUGUCGACCCUACACAGGCACCUGAGAAAUCAGAGCUGAGUCAGGAGAGCCGGUGUGGAUGUACUGGGAGCUCCUUCCCUUGCUGCGUCAGCACUCUUGAGACUGGAGAGCCCUGGAGGUUGGGGACCGGCCACUUGCUGGUGGACCAGACUCCCUGCAGUCUGGGAUGGUGACAGACAUGAGACAUGGCUGUGGAAGUAAUUGGUAACAGUAGUAGCCCGCAUUUAUUGAGCACUGACUAUGUGCUUGGCUUUGUGUGAAGGCCAGUCACAUGCAUUAUUUCCCCCUCCCACAGCCUUGUCUGGUGGGUACUGCUAUUCUGUCCCCAGUUUACUGAUGAGACAUUUGAGGCCCAGAGUUGCUGGGUAGUAACCAGUCCAAAGUCACCCUGCUGACAAGUAGCUGAAGCAGUAGUCCCCAGUCUUACCUACUAUACUGUACUGAGAAAGGUUUGACCUGGAAGGCAGAAUGGCAGAGGGGGAAAUGACAAGGUUCUAGCAGUAUUAAUAAUAGAUACCAUGCAUUGAGCACCCACUAAGUGCUGGGUGCUGGCCCAAGGGCAUUUCAUGAAUCAUUUAUCCUCCUGACAGUGAACCCUAUACUGUAAAUUUUAUUUCCAUUUCAAAGGUGAAGCUCGGAGAAGUCACUUUAUAUGCCUUAGGGCACAUAUAGUAAAAAACUAACUUUUCGAUUCAUUGAUGGUGCAUUCUGCCUGCCUGCAUGUCACUCUUAGGCAUAUUCCACUCUUCUCUGAGUCAAGCUUUCUCCUACUGUGAAAUGAGAGGCUUGGACUGGGAGACUUUGAAUGUUCUUUCCCCAGCCGAUGUUGUUUGAUUUUAGGGAGUUUUGACAUGAAUGUUGGAGAUCUGGAUUUGAGGAUUACAUUUGUUCCUAAUUAACUGUAAUUUAGGCACAUCUCUGCAUCUCUGGGCUUCAGUUUCCGCAUUAGUAAAAGGUAAGACUAGACCAGGCAUGUUGGCUCAUGUCUGUAAUCCCAGAACUUUGGGAGGCUGAGGAGGAAGGAGGAUUGCUUGAAGCCAGGAGUUUGAGUCCAGCCUGGGCAACAAAACAAGACCCUGUCUCUACAAUAAAAAAAAAUUAAAAAGUUCAAAUUAGCCAGGUGCAGUGGCUCAUGCUUGAAGUCCCAGCUACUUGGAGAGCUGAGGUGGGAUACUCACUUGAGCCCAGGAGUUUGAGGCUGCAGUGAGCUAUAAUCAUGCCACUGCGCUCUAUCCUGGGCAACAGAGCGAGGCCCCGUCUCUAAAAAGAAAAUGGGCUGGGCACGGUGACUCACACCUGUAAUCCUAACACUUUGGGUGGCUGAGGUGGGAGGAUCACUUGAUCCCAGGAGUUUGAGACCAGCCUGGGCAACAUGGCAAAACCCUGUCUCUACGAAAAAUACAAAAAACUGGCUAGGCAUGGUGACAUGUACCUGUGGUUCCAGCUAUCUAGCUAUCCGGGAGGUGGAGGCAGAAGGAUCACCUGAGCCCAGGAGGUUGAGACUGCAGUGAUCCAUGAUCACGCCACAGCCUUGGCAACAGAGUGAGACCCUGUCUCAAAAAAAAAGAAAAAAAAAUUACAGAGAUUAGCAUUUCCAAUCACCAGAGUGCCUUCUGGCUUGAAUAUUUUAUGACUGCAGAUGAAGAGACAACCUGAGGUUCAGCAAACUGCAUCCUCUGAGAAAGUCUAAUGAACGUAAAUCUGCUACCUUACUCAGAAUGUCCCUGGCACAAGUUUCCAAGGAUAGACCCUCUGUGUGAAGGGGAGCAGCUGCCUUUGAGCAAUCAGCAGUAACUGCUUGGGGAGGCUUAGUCCCCUAAUAGUUCAGAAGUCACCUCCAAGGUCAGACGGACCCACAGCUGAACGCCAACACUUCCACUUCUCGGUAAGGCAUCUCAGGCAAGUGACCUUUCCUUUCUGUAUCUCAGUUUCCCCCGUAUAAGAUGGAAUGCUGGCUGGGCACGGUGGCUAAUCCCAGCACUUUGGGAGGCCGAGGCAGGCAGAUCACCUGAGGUCAGGAGUUAAAGACCAGCCUGGCCAACAUGGUAAAACCCCAUGUCUACUAAAAAUACAAAAAUUAGCCAGGUGUGUUGGCAGGCACCUGUAGUCCCAACUACUAGGGAGGCUGAGGCAGGAGAAUCGCUUGAACCCGGGAGGCAGAGGUUGCAGUGAGCCGAGAUUGCUCCACUGCACUCCAGCCUGGGCAACAGAGCAAGACUCCCUCUCAAAACAAAAACAAACAAAACAAAAGGAUGCUAAUGGUACCAGCUUCAUCUGGGAAUUGGUGAGUAAACAUGGGGGGAAAAAUCUAACACCAUUUUUUUGGCCUAGAAAAUUCUCAGUAAACACAACUGUUACUAGUUGUGUCUGCAGCACCAGUCUGGGCAGCACCAGUCUGGGCACUGGGGGAGUUCCUAAGCCUUGGACCCCACCCAUCCUCUAUGCCCUAAGAUGAUUUUAGGGGAGGAGAGGCAGGAUCCUGCUGAGUCAGUGGAGGAUCCAGAGUUAGGACUCAGGCAGCCCCCACCUCUGAGGUUGCCAACACCAGCUUCUGGCCUAAAGUGGCAUUAAUGGGCAUUCUAGCAUGUCCCUAGCUGGCAGCAGCUCCUGGGGAGGGGCAGCGGCCGCUGAGAAUAGGGAGGCAGAGGAAUGGUGUUAGGAGUCCUGCAGUGUGUGCCGGGGACUAUGGCUCAGCGCAUCCUUGUGGUUCCAGGUGAGUUAACUGAAGUGUGUGCCGUGCUUUGGGCUUUUAUGAAGUGCAUUUGCAUCAGUUGUGUCCUCAGGACAGGGUUGAGUGGCAUAGGAUACAGGGUUCUCAACGAGCAGUAUAGGGAUUCGACUACUGCAGACCUGUACAAGGGAUCAGGAACCCCCAAAACUGUGCAGGAUUGUGUGGGUGAUUCUCCAGAGGCAUAAGACCCAAAAAUGUCAAAAGAGUUCUUGAUUUAGGAGUCAGAAGACCUGCUCACUAGAUCCCAUCCCCAUUUCUCCCUUUCUUCCACCCUUCUUCUUCCUUCCUUCCUUCCUUCCUUUCUUUCUUUCAUUUGUUCAUUUGUUCGUUCAUUUUAGAGACAGAGACUUGCUGUGUCGCCCAGGCUGGAGUGCAGUGGUGCAAUCUCAACUCACUGCAGCCUUGACCUCCUGGGCUCAAGCGAUCCACCCACUUCAUCCUCAGCUUCCCGAGUAGCUGGGACAACAGGUGCACACCACUAUGCCUGGCUAAUUUUGUUAUUUUUUUAUUAUUAUUUUUUGGUAGAGACACCCCAUCUCACCAUGUUGCCUGGCUGGUCUCGAACUCCUGGGCUCGAACAGUUCUCCCACCUUGGCCUCUCAAAGUGCUGAGAUUACAGGUGUGAGCCACUGCACCUGGGCCUUCCCUCCUUCUGUCUCAUCCAUUCAACAGACAUUUCCUAAGAUGUGUUUCAGGCCCCACCCUGCACUGGGAAUACAGCCAUGAAGAAGACAGGCUCCCAGCUCCCCAGCAAGUUUGGGGCCAAUUUUGUAAGAACUGAUAGAGGGGGCAAGUCCAGGGGUUGUUAGAGCUUCAAACUGGGGCUCCUGACCCAGCAUGUGGUGGGGGGCAAGCUGGGAGUCAGCAGGGGAGUCCUGGCUCAGUGCCUGUGGCCUUGGGUAGGCCACUAGCCUUGCUGAGCCUCAGUUUACCCCCCUCUCCUUGAUGGGACCACUUGACAGAAUGGGGUGAGGAUGGAGGAGAUGCGGGCCUGGUGGAGCCUCCUCAAAGGGGAUGUGGCUGUGUUUCGGCUCCCAUGGAGCCAGGACACCACCCGGGCACCCAGGCUCACAGCACAGUGCUCCCUUUACUUUGUUGGAGCUGGAGCAUUUCCCGUUUGAAACAGGCCAGAGGAAGAACACUGGUGAGGAAGUCAGAGAUCUGGCCCUGGGCCCCAGGGCUCUGCCUGGCCUCACUGGCCAACCUCAGACACCUUACCGAGGGCCUUAGGUUCCCACCCACACACACAGGAGGCCAGGCUGCCUGAUCUUCUAUGGACAAAUACAUAUGAGCAGCGGGGGUACCAAGAAAGGUGAGCAGCCAGGGAGAGCCUCCCAAAGGAGGUGGCAUAGCUGCAGCCUGAAGGAUUGAGAGCAAGAGUGGGGAAAUAACUGGAUGGGUUCCCUGGUCCCGAAGUGUUUCUGGUAGAACCUCUAGGGGUGAUGGAGGAAUGUGGGGAUGGGGCCCUGGGCUCGGGGAGGAGAGAAGGAGGGUCGGGGAGAGCUGCCCCUUUGCUCCAAGGCUCUCUUAACUGGUGACAAAGAGCAGGCCCUUGGGGCCAGGAAGGCCUCGGUUUGAAUCCUUUUUGACAUUGCUUCAUUAAGGACCCCUAGGUAAGGGUUUCAUCUGUCUAAGCUUCAUUACUUCCAUCUGGGAAAUGGGUGAUAAUCAUACCACAUUCAAAAGGUUGUUGGCUAUUAUAUGACUUUAUUUAUAUGAAAUGUCUAGAAUAGGCAAAUCUAUAGAGACAGAAAAUAGAUUAGUGGCUACCUAAACCUGAGAGGAUAAGGGACUUGGAGAGUGAUAGCUAAAGAGUAUGAGGUUUCUUUUUGGGAUGAUGAAAAUAUUCUUUUUUUCUUUUUCUUUUUCUUUUUUUUUUUUCUUUUGAGACAGAGCUCACUCUGUCACACAGGCUGGAGUGCAGUGUUGCAAUCUUGGCUCACUGCAGCCUCCGCCUCCCAGGUUGCAGCAAUUCUCCUGCCUCAGCCUCCCAAGUAGCUGGAACUACAGGCUCAUGCCACCAUGCCUGUCUAAUUUUGUAUUUUUAGUAGAGACAAGAGUUUCACCAUGUUGGCCAGGCUGGUCUCGAACUCCUGACCUCAAGUAAUCGGCCUGUUUCAGCCUCCCAAAGUGCCAGGAUUACAGGUGUGAGCCACUGUGCCUGGCCUGGGGUGAUAAAAAUGUUCUAAAAUUGAUUGUGAUGGUUGCACAACUCCAUAAACAUGGCAUUGUUGCUUUAAAUGGUUGAGUUGUAUGGGAUGUGAAUUAUCUCUCAAUAAGGCUGUUAUUAAAAAACCAAGAGGUUCAGACGAGAUGUUCCACGCUCCCUAAAUGUUGGCUGUCACUGGUGUUAUUUACUCCUGGCAGCUCUUCCAGCCCUCCUCCAGAGAGGGCUGAUAGGUUCCGGGAGAAGGGGAAGGGGCCUGGGCCCCUACUAGCUGGCUAGGGGCCCCAAGCAAGCUACAUAACCUCCCUGAGCCUCAGUUUUCUCAUCUGUGAAAUGGGUGGGGGCGGUUUUCCAGGCCUUGGCCACCUCUUUGGACACUGUGCUGCUCAGAUCAGACCAUGGGCUUUGCUAGAUAUAGUUACAUGGCCAGUUGUAGAGAAGGGCAGUGGGGGGAUUGGAUGUUCUCUCCGUCUGCACCCAGAGGGGCUGACUUCACACAUCCGCUCAUGGUUGCAUACCGAGUGUGUUUUGUGAGCAAGGCACCAUGCAGGAGAUGGAGGAGGGACCGCAAGAGCCUGUGCCCCAGCCUGCCUGGAGCUCAGAGCCCCAGAAAAGGGACACGCAAGGGUUUGCCAGGGCUGAUGGGAGCACUGCUGGCUGUGCAGGCCAUCAUUUCAUCACUCUGGCCCUCAGUUACCUCAUCUGUAAAAAGGGGAAUAAAUGGUACCUCCCUGCUAGGGUCGUGCUGAGGCUCACAGUGGCUGGCAUAGCAUCUCUAGUAAAUACACAGGAACCAUUGUCGUCACUAUGGCUAUCAAUAUCAUCAGCCAUCAGGUGCCUUUUGUCCCCUCCCCCCCUCCCCUUGGCUAACUUGUCGCAUGGUGAAUCAUGUCAGGGCUAGCUUUCCUGUCUCUGUCCCUGCCCCAGAGCAUCAACCAACUUCCAGGGUGGAGCCUGGAUGCUCCCUUUUCAGACCCAGCCCACGCACCCAAAGAAGCUGUAGGCUCCUCAGUGAGCCUCGAGCCCCUUUCCUGCCCCCAUUUCUUCAGGCCCAGCUGCAGAAGGCAUGACCCUCUGGCCAGCCCGAGACUGAAGCCUCCCUCCUGUCCUGUCCUCUCCUUCCACCUGGCUGCAGGGUAAGGUCAACAGGCCACCCCCAGCCAGCCUUUCUGGGCGUUCUACUCUCUCUGCGGCGAGAGCCAGUUGAGCCCAACUCAGAAUCUCCUCCCGCAUUCCUCCACCUGCAGAGCCGCAGCAGGGCUGGGGACCUGGCCUGGGCCUCCACAGCCUCUGCAGCAUCCCUGUCACUGUGGUGGGCGAAGGGCCCAGAUGGGGGGCAGGCAUCCCUGCUGGAUGCUAGUCCCUGCUCCUGACCAGUAGCCGCAGUGCCUGAUUUAUGGCUCCCUCUGGGCUCUCUCCAGCAAAACUGCUUGCAAACCACUCCUGGCCUGUUCUUUUCUGGGUCCUGGUUUGCAGACAGGUUGCCUCAGGCCACAGCCUGCAGCCCCACCCCACCACACCCCCAGUCCCCAACCACCAGGCACCUGGGACAUCAGGGCAGGUUGUGCCUUGAGAAGAAGGACAAAGUUCCAUCCCAGCCCUGCCAUGGGUGGGCUGGAUGGCCUAAAGUGGCUUAUGGAACCUCUCUGGGCCUCAGGUUUGCUGUUUGCACAUUGAAUGAUCUUGAAGGUAUCCUCACUGAUACCCAUGCUUCUGAGUUUCCUUCACAUGGCCCCACCGCCUCCCAAGUCUUUUGCCUUGGAACUGAGUCUCCUUUUUUUUUUUUUUUUUUUUGAGAUGGCGUCUUGCUUUGUUGCGUAGGCUGGAGUGCAGUGGCACAAUCUUUGUUCACUACAACCUCCGCCUCCUGGGUUCAAGAGAUUCUCCUGCCUCAGCCUCCCAAGUAGCUGGGAUUACAGGCGUGUACUACCAUGCCUGGCUGAUUUUUGUAUUUUUAGUAGAGAGGGGCUUUCGCCAUGUUGGCCAGGCUGGUCUUGAACUCCUCACCUCAAGUAAUCCGCCCACCUCAGCCUCCCAAAGUGCUGGGAUUACAGGUGUGAACCACCAUGUCUGGCCUGGAACUGGGCCUUCCAUGUGUCUAAAUGGAGACCCCAGCAACCAGGCCAGGUGAGCAAGAAAGAACUAGGCCUGGGUGGGUGAUGGGUACUGGAGACACCCAUCUUUGGAGCCCCACAGCCUUGGGCAGGACCGCUGGCUUUUUCCAGGCCACUCUCUUGCCUCCCUGAGCCCCAUCCAUAAAAUAGGGAGAGUCGGACCUGAGCUAUUGCAGGUGGAUCCCUGUGCUAGACACAGCUUGAGCGGGUGACAAUAAAUAUGGGUCUCUUUUCCCUUCAAGGCCUGGCUCAGCAUCCUCAAGCCUGGUUCCCAGGGGCUGCCAAGUCCAGGCCACUGCAGACAGUGGGAGCAUGGGCUGUGGGUGGGCAUUUUGUGGCCAGCGUGGGGGUGGGGGUGGCGGUCAUCACUGUGCCUCCAGGUCAUCUGUCUGAUCCAUGAGCAGGAAGUGGGGAGGCCACAGUGGUCCCCAACACUGGGUGUCUGCAAGGAGGGCGUGGAACUGUCGAGAGCUUGGUGGCCUGUUUGCUCAUGUGUGCAUCCACUCAGACAUAUUUAGUCAGCAUCAUCUUCUUCUUCUUUUUUUUUUUUUCUUUUGAGACGGAGUUUCACUCUUGUCACCCAGGCUGGGUCUCAGCUCACUGUAACCUCUGCCUCCUGGGUUCAAGCGAUUCUCCUGCCUCAGCCUCCCAAGUAGCUGGGACUACAGGUGCACGCCACCAUGCCCGGCUAAUUUUGUAUUUUUAGUAGAGAUGGGGUUUCACCAUGUUGGCCAGGCUGGUCUUGAACUCCUGACCUUAGGUGAACCACCUACCUCGGGCUCCCAAAGUGCUAGGAUUACAGGUGUGAGCCACCGCACCUGGCCUAGCCAGCAUCUUCCUGAUGGCCACUCUGCACCUGGGUCUGCAGAGGACCGUUCUAAGCACCUUACAUGCAUUAACUUGCUUUUAUCCUCACGACAACCCUACAGGGUAAGCACUGGUCACAUCAUUUUUGCUCAAGGUAACACAGCUGAUAAAUGGUAGAAUCAGGGUCUGAAGCCGGGCCAUCCUUUCAAGUCCAUGGCAAACGCCUUUUCUCAGCUUCGCACUGCCCUCAGCACCAGCCUGCUUCCUGCUCAUCUGGAAGCAGCAUUGCAUCCCCGCUCUGGCCUUCGCUCUUGCUGCUCACCGCACCGCCCCCUUUCCUGACUCCCUUUCUCCUCUGAUUGAACAACAAACUGAUAGCCUUCUAGACUCAGCUGUAUGGCUGGGUGCAGUGGCUCAUACCUGUAAUCUCAGCAUUUUAGGAGCCUGAGGUGGGAGGAUCACUUGAGGUCAGGAGUUCAAGACCAGCCCGGGCAACAUGAUUGAAACCCUGUCUCUACAAAAAGUACAAAAAUUAGCCAGGUGUGGUGGUCAGCGUCUGUAGUCCCAGCUACUCAGGAGGGUGAGGCAGGAGGAUUACUUGAGCCUGGGAGGUCAGGCUGUAGUGAGCCGAGAUUGCACCAGUGUACUCCAGCCUGGGCAGCGACAGUGAAACCCUGUCUUGAAAAAUAAAAAAAUAAGACUCAGCUGUGGCAUCACCUCCUCCAGGAAGCCUUCCUUGAUGCCCUUCCUGUCCCAGGCUGAAUUAGGCUCCUCCACUGGCCUCUCUCAGUUUCCCCUGUCCGGCACUCAUCCAUCUUGUUGCAAGCAUCUGUUCAUGUGUUUACCUCCUCUACCAGACUGUAAGCCCCUCGUCCUCACCUUGACACCCACUGUGCCUGGCACCAUUUGUGGUACAGAGGAGAUCACUGGGGAAUUUUGAAGGGCCAAAUCUUUUUUUUUUUUUUUUGAGAUAGAGUUUUGCUCUUGUUGCCCAGGCUGGAGCGCAAUGGCACAAUCUCAGCUCACCACAACCACCGCCUCCCGGGGUUCAAGUGAUUCUCCCACCUCAGCCUCCCGAGUAGCUGGGAUUACAGGCAUGCGCCACCACAGCUGGCUAAUUUUGUAUUUUUAGUAGAGACAAGGUUUCUCCAUGUUGGUCAGGCUGGUCUCAAACUCCCAAACUCAGGUGAUCCACCCGCCUCAGCCUCCCAAAGUGGUGGGAUUACAGGCGUGAGCCACCAUGCCCGGCCUUUUUUUUUUUUUUUUUUUUUAAUGGAGUCUUGCUCUGUUUCCCCGGGCUGGAGUGGCAUGAUCUUGGCUCACUGCAACCUCUGCCUCCUGGGUUCAAGCAAUCCCCCCACCUCAGCCUCCUGAGUAGGUGGGAUCAUAGAUGUGUGCCAGCAUGCCCAGCUAAUUUUUUAUAUUUUUAGUAGAGACAGGGUUUUGCCAUGUUGGCCAGGCUGGUCUCGAACUCCUGACCUCAAGUGAUCUGUCUGCCUCAGCCUCCGAAAGUGCUAGGAUUACAGGCAUGAGCCACCAUGCCUGGUCAGAUGACCAAAUCUUGAUCGUUCGUAACCUUGUGAAUAGUGGACAAGUUCUAGUAUCUGUUUCACAGAGGAGGAAACUGAGGCACAGAGAGGUGACAUGAUUUUCGCAACUCACAGAGCUAGUGGUGACAGAGCUGGCAUUUGUUGGAAUGGCCUCCAUUUCAGAACAAGCUCCUAGAAGGGUUUACCAAACCAGGGCUUAAAUUUUUUGAAUUAUUUAUUAAUGGCUCAAAAGUCUGAAGGCGCGAAGGGUAGACAGUGAAAAAUCUCCCUUCUCUUCUGUCCCCAGCCACCCAAAUCCUCCUAGGGAAGCAGCCGGGGUGAUCUGAUUCUCAGGUGUCCUUCUCAGCAGUGUGUGUGUUCCCAGACAAACCCAGCAUGUGUUAUUUAGAACCAGGUUUAAACCCAGGCCUGUGGGAUGCCCAUCUCACCUGGGGCUGCUCAGGGCUUGGGACAGGGUCCACCAUGUCCUGGCAAAGAUAUCGGGCCACCAGAGGCCUCCAUCUCCCCAUCUGGGGUCCCCUCCCUGUCCCAGGUCCCCUCCGGCUGUUGCUGUGCCUCCUCAACGGAGCUGCCUGCCUGGAUCUGCUCCCCAGGCUGCAGCAGAGGCUGGGCUCAGGCCCACAGCCCGGCAGGGCUACAAUGGUGAAGGGCUGCUUUGGGCUGAGGGGGCCUCCCUUCAGGCAGUCUGACACUUGCUUUCAUUAUUCCUCACAGAACGGGCCCAGUGUGGGGAAACAAGCCCAGCAAAGGCAGGGGCCAGAGUGAGGAGGCACUGGGCAGGCGGGGCACACAGGGCACAUCACGGCAGGGCAGGGCAGGGAUGCUGGCUCCACCCCUUUCUGCUGGGAACCGAGUGGGCAUAAUAGCUCCCCGAGCAGCCUCUUUUCUCUGAAGAUUAAGAGACAGUACCUGGAAUUGCUUGGAGAAUGCAGUAAGCGCUCCAGAAGUGGUGACUGGAGUGUUAUAGUUAGGGAGGCUCCGGGCUUUUCCACCACCCUAGACUUCCCUGUGACCCCUGAAAAGCAGAGACACAAGACCCUUGGGGCCUGUGCUCAGGGCUCUGACCCAGUCCCUUCCCCUGUGUGCAUAAAUAUUUGGGGGAUUGUUGUUGUUACUCUUUUUUUUUUUUUUUCUUGAGACAGAGUUUCGCUCUUGUUGCCCAGGUUAAGGUGCAGUGGCACAAUCUCGUCUCACCGCAACUUCUGCCUCCCAGGUUCAAGCAAUUCUCCUGCCUCAGCCUCCUGAGUAGCUGGGAUUACAGGCAUGUGCCACCACGCCCAGCUAUUUUUUUGUAUUUUGCAUAGAGACAGCGUUUCACCGUGUUAGCCAGGAUGGUCUUGAUCUCCCAACCUCAGGUGAUCCGCCCACCUUGGCCUCCCAAAGUGCUGGGAUUACAGGCGUGAGCCACCACGCCCAGCCCUGUUGUUGUUACUCUUAUUGGUGUCCAGUCUUAUGAUGUCCAAUAGGAAACCAGGACUCCCACCUCCACCCUGUUGCCCAGGGUAGCUUUGGUGGAGGGCAGGGCAGCAGUGAAUAUGUGCACAGGUUUGGAGGGUGGGGAGGAGGCUACCAGGAGGCUGGGUGGGGCACAGACAGAGCACAGGGCUAGGAACCAGGCCUUUGGGGUUCCCCUCUUACAUAGGAGCCCUGGGUCUGCCUGAAUCCAGUUCCCUCCUCUAUGAAAUUAGGGUGAUCAUCCCUCUCCCCAUUAACUUCAUGGGAUUUGGGAUGCUCUGGGGAGAGAAUGCAUGAGAGAAUCUUUGCCUUGAACUCCUGGCCUCAAGUGAUCCUCCUGCUUCAGCCUCUUAAACUGUAGGGAUUACUGGGAUUACAGGCAUGAGCUACUGCACCUGGCUGGGGAUCUUUGCCAUCUGCAAAUCAGAGGUGGCAAGCAGGCAUCCACAGGCCUGCAGAACCACAGAGGACAUUAAAGGGAUUUGAUUUGGAAAUAGUAGUAAUGAUUGUGCAAUAUUUUGAAUAUAAUUAAUACCACUGGCCUGUACACUUAAAAUGGUAAAAAUGGGCAGUUUUGUGUAUAGAUUUUUUUUCUUUUCCUUGCCCAUCUUUUUUUUUUUUUUUUUUUUUUUUUUUUGAGACAGGGUCUUGCUCUGUAAGCCCAGGCUGGCAUGCAGUGGUGUGAUCUUGGCUCAUGGCAACCUCUGCCUCCCGGGUUCAAGUAAUUCUCCUGCCUUAGCCUCCCAAGUAGCUGGGAUCACAGGCAUGCACCACCACACCCGGCUAAUUUUUGUAUUUUUAGUAGAGAUGAGGUUUCGCCAUGUUGGCCAGGCUGGUCUCGAACUCCUGACCUCAAGUGAUCCACAGGCGUCGGCCUCCCAAAGUGCUGGGAUUACAGGCGUGAGCCACCAUGCCCGGCCUUACACAGCCAUUUUAAAUAUGGAAAAAAAAAAAGAGGAUUUGAGUUAGUUGCCCUAUCAGUCAGAAAAACAGAACCCACUUUAGGGGGUCCAAUGGGGGAAAUUUUGGAAAGCCAAACAGGAGGCUGGACAGAGGUGGGUUACCCAAACCCAUGGCCUGGGACCACAGAGGUCUAUCUGGAGGGAAUUGUAAGUUUGGAGAAGACCCAGCCACUGCCCAAAGGCUGGAAAAACCCGGGCCUCUUCUAUCUGCCAGUCUCCCUUCAGUGCCUCCCAUUGGCUGGACCUAAUCAACGCCGGUUUGCAAAGGAGCUUGGGAAAUGUAGUUUGAAGGGUUAGUUCCCCCACCUUUCCAGAUGGUGAGCAGAGGAGGGACAGCAAAUGGAUGUGAAAUCAUACAGCAGGCAGGGCAUGGUGGCUCAUGCCUGAAAUCCCAGCACUUUGGGAGGCCAAGGCGGGAAGAUGACUUGAGGCCAGGAGUUUGAGACCAGCCUGGGCAAUAUAACAAGACCCUCAUCUCUACAAAAAAUUUUAAAAAAUUAGCCAGGCAUGGUGGCACACACCUGUAAUCCCAGCUACUAGGAGGCUGAGGUGGAGAAUGGCUUAAGCCCAGAAUUCGAAGCUUCAGUGAGCUAUGAUCGCACCACCGCACUCCAGCCUGGGUGACAGAGCAAGACCCUGUCUCUUAAAAAAAAAAGAAAAAACAUCAUAUGGCAAAUGAGGGUUAUAGUUGUCAACAUGAAAUGACUGGGCGAUUUAGCAUAAAAAUCUGGAUUUAUAGAUUCUCCUGAAACACCAAAGGCUCCACUCCCUUGAGUCCAACAUCUUAGCCUAGUUUUGCUGUUUACAUUGUCCUUGGGGAGCCCUGCUGAGGAGUCCUGAGAAGCCUACAGGGUGAGGGGCAUGAGGGGACCCCAUAUCCUUCAGGGUGGGAUCAGAGGAGGAGAAGCCAUGAGGACCCUGAGGCAGGUGGGCUGAGCAGGCAGGGCCAGGGGAUCCAAUGGGGCCAUCAGUUUCUAGAGAGAGCACAUUGGGGAUCUGGAACUGUGGGGACCUUCCUAUUGUUGCUUUUGUGUGUGUGUGUGUGAGACAGUCUUGCUCUGUCACCCAGGCUGGAGUGCCGUGGUGCGAUCUCAGCUCACUGCAACCUCUGCCUCCCAGGUUCAAGCAGUUCUUUGCCUCAGCUUCCCGAGUAGCUGGGACUACAGGCGCCUGCCACCACUCCCAGCUAAUUUUUGUAUUUUUAGUAGAGAUGGGGUUUCACUAUCUUGGCCAGGCUGGUCUUGAACUCCUGACCUCGUGAUCCACACGCCUCGGCCUCCCAAAGUGCUGAGAUUAUAGGCGUGAGCCACCACGCCUAUUGUAGCUUUUAGAGACUGUCUGGUCUUAACGCAACUGUGAGGGUUGUGUUUGUUCAUUUUAGUUAUCUUUCUGACACUGUCAGGCCCUGUGUUCUAAAUUUUCCAGGAAAGCCCAACGUGUAAACUGAUGACAGACUAUCCUGGAGGAAGAGGUGGGGCAGCCUGGAGUUUUCCUCUGGACAUCCUGAGAGGGAUACUGAAGCACUCAGGAGGGGUCUUAGACCUGCCCAAGCUCACUCACACAGUUUGAGAAGAGCUGCGCUUAGACCACAGGCCUCUUGGCUCCUGGGAAGCUGAGAGCAUCGGCGUGGGAGUUCGUCAGACAGGGGCAAGUUCCAACCGCAGCUCAGUGACCUCAGACAAGCCCCCUCACCUCGCAGAACCAGGUUCUUCUUCAGAGUUGUAGGAAGGAGUGGAGGAGGGUCUCCGCAUGUCAGAUGUCCACACAGUGCCUGGGAGCUGAGGUUGUCAUGGUUACCAAGAGGCCAGUCUCAGGGCUGCUGUGAUGACCUGGGCUGCUCUCCCAUUCCCAAGAAGGGGAGAACUCCUCAGAUUCCCUACUCUGCUCUUCUUGCUCCCUCCCAAGCAAUACAUGAGCAGGAAUUUGUCCUCUGCAGGAAUGUGCAGCGAGAAAGUCUCCUUUUUUGAUGAGACAGCGAUGAGGUGAUGUCUGGUUUUUUAUAUCCUCACUUGCUGAACUGGUGCCAGAUGUAAGAGUCCAGGCUGGAUUCCAUUAGCCAUAUUUGUCCUCUGGGCUCCCAGCCCUGCAGGACCUUCUGGGGGCCCACCUUGAGACCCUCCAGUUGGUAAGAAGUUGGCUGGGGCAAAUGAUGCAGCCCUAAGACGAACCAUUUCCACUGGGGACUCAGGCAGGGUCCCUGAGAGCCUGACUUACUCGAGUCUUUUCUUUAAAAAUUAAAAAAACAAGGCUGGGCGCGGUGGCUCACGCCUGUAAUCCCAGCACUUUGGGAGGCCGAGGCGAGUGGAUCACGAGGUCAGGAGAUUGAGCCCAUCCUGGCUAACAUGGUGAAACCCCUUCUCUACUAAAAAUACAAAAAAUUAGUCGGGCAUGGUGGUGGGCACCUGUAGUCCCAGCUACUCAGGAGGCUGAGGCAGGAGAAUGGCGUGAACCCGGGAGGUGGAGGUUGCAGUGAGCCGAGAUCGCACCACUGCACUCCAGCCUGGGCAACACCGUGAGACGCCAUCUCAAAAAAAAAAAAAAAUUAACAAAACACAUUGAUCUUUUUUUUUUAUUUUUACCGAAGUAAGAAACCCUUUGAAGUUUAGGAGCUGCAACUAAUCCACGUUGAAGGCUAAUCGGAGGCCUAGAUAGGUUAAUACCUUUCCCAGAGGAACCCAGUGGUAAAUGUAAAUGUCAGAUUGAUCAAUUGUAGAUUGAACUUCAGAAGCUGGAGUCCUCAUUACUAUUCUGGGGUGAUGGUCGACUCUAUUUGCUCAACAGAAGGAUCAGUGGCCUGGAGAAUUUGAGAUAGUUGGUGAUAACAUUAUAGGAUUCUAUUUUAAAUGGGAAAGAAAUUCCUAAAAGUUAAACGCAUGUUAAAAAAAACUAUAUUAAGGCCGGGUACAGUGGCUCUUGCCUGUAAUCCCAGCACUCUGGGAAGCCGAGGUGGGAGGAUCGCUUGAGCCUAGGAGUUCCAGAUUAGCCUGGGCAACACAGUGAGACCCCAUCUCUAAAAAAAAGAACAAAAUUAGCUGGCAUGUCAUUGUGCACUUGUAGUCUCAGCUCCUUGGGAGGCUGAGGUGGGAGGAUUGCUUGAGCACAGAAGGGUGAGGCUGCAGUGAACUGUGAUCACACCACUGUGCUCCAGCCUGGGUGACAGAACAAUACCUUGUCUCAAAAAUAAAAAAAUUCAUAUACAAAAAUGCCUGAGGUAUACAAUGAAAGCUCUUGAAAGCCACUGUCUACAGAUAAGCAUUAGAGCCACUUACACAGAUUUUUUCAGAUUUUUCUAUGCAUUUAUAUGUUAAAAUUUAUAUUUUUAAAAGAUUAACACUAUACAUUCUGUUUUGCAGUUUGCUUUUGCAAAUAGCAGUAGCUCCUGAAAUGUGGAAAUUCUUUACCUGGCUGAUUCAUGACAAACUUGGUGGGAGAAGUAGCUGGUAAAGUUUUAUGCAAAAUUGUGUGUUGUGUGUAUGUGAGCAUUCUUUAGAAAUAGUGACUAUGAUUCUCAUCAGAAUCUUAGGAAAGAUUCAGACCCAAGACCCUUGAUUUCAGAUGGGGAAGGGACUCAGUCCUCGGGCUGGCCUUGAAGGAUGAGGACAAGAAUGCUGCAGUCGCCUGGCCCUGGGCAUCCUGCCCUGGCCUUGGAGAGGAGCUGCAUUCUGCAGAGCCAGAAGGAGGACAAGAGAGGCAGCCUGCCCAAGCACCAGGCUGAGCCUCUGCAGUCCCUGCCAGGAGAAGACUUACAGCCGCCGGGAGCUUGGGAAGGUUACAGAGAAAAAGCCUCUCGCAGCACUUGGGAGGACACUGCCUGCAGCACCGCGCCUGCUGUGGGCCUGCUCCAGGGUCAGGGAAGCCUCUGAGGGACAGGCUUGGGGCACAAGGGUGGGUGAGGGGCAGGGGAGAGAGUGUACUCUCUGGGCCAGGACCCCGGCACACCUAGCACACAGACCAUGGGGAGGGUGCCAAACACAGGACUUGGCUACAUUUUGUUACUGUCACUUUGAGUAUUACCUGUGCAAUCGAGCAGGCUUUAUGGAUCUCAGACUGCCCAGGACUUUUCUGGCUGCUAUGGGAGGAUGUAAGAUUUACCAAGAACACCAGCCACCACCCAGAAAGCAGGUUUCUCAUGUGAGCCCUGCGCCAAGCACUGUAUGUGCACAUGCCAGAUUUUAAUUUGCUGUGGGGAGGUGCUUUUAUACUCGCCACUUGACAGUGGCCCCCAAAAAGCCAAGAAACCUGUCCAAGGCCCAUGGGAUCAGCAGGUGUUGAUUUAAUACUGGUACCCCCAGUUGCAGAGUCCCCAGCCUCAACCAUAGGCACUCUCCUCUGCCCCCCGGGGAGGGACUGCCACCCUGACUCAGGGAUGACCUCUGCGAGAUGAGAGCAGAGGGGUUUUGUUCUGUUUCAACCUUUUUUGUUGUUUGUUUUUGAGACGGAGUUUUUGCUGUGUUGCCCAGGCUGGAGUGCAGUGGUGCAAUCUCAGCUCACUGCAGCCUCCACCUCCUGGGUUUAAGCAAUUCUCCUGCCUCAGCCUCCUGAGUAGCUGGGAUUACAGAUGCAUCUCACCAUACCCAGCUAAUUUUUUGUGUUUUUAGUAGAGAUGGGGUUUCACCAUGUUGGCCAGGCUGGUCUCAAACUCCUGACCUCAGGUGAUCCACCCACCUCGACCUCCCAAAGUGCUAGGAUUACAAGUGUGAGCCACUGAGCCCGGCCUCAACCUUUUUUUAUUAUUAUUUUUUGAGAUGGAGUCUCACUCCAUCGCUAGGCUGGAGUGCAGUGGCACAAUCUCGGCUCACUGCAACCUCCACCUCCUGGGUUCAAGUGAUUCUCCUGCCUCAGCCUCCUGAGUAGCUGGGACUACAGGCGCCCGCCACUACACCCGGCUAAUUUUUUGUACUUUUAGUAGAGAUGGGGUUUCACCAUGUUGGCCAGGAUGGUCUCAAUCUCCUGACCUCGUGAUCCACUCACCUCAGCCUCCCAAAGUGCUGGUAUUACAGGUGUGAGCCAUCGCGCUUGGCUUUUUUUUUUUUUUUUUUUUAAACCACAAGCAUGUGUCACUUUUAUAGUUAAGAGGAAAAACAAACUUUUUCUAAAAAUCUGUAUUUCUGAAAUGGUUAGCAGGAGCCCAGCUGAGUCUGGGGUGCUGCAGGCCUCCUGCCUGUGGGGACCUCUCCUAGGCACCUCCUUUCUUAGACCCAUCCUUAGGGCUGGGAGAAACUCCUUCCACAGUGUUCUUGGCUUCAAAGCAGGGCAGGCUUCCCAGAUGGGGAAGCUCAUAGGCUGGUGGGGGUGAGGUGCGGUGGGGAGCGGCAGAGAGACCUUCCAGGCCAGGUGUCCAGCCUAGAAAAAGGCUCAGAAGUGUGCAUGAGUGUGAGCUGUUGUUGGGAAUAAGAAGAUUGUCCCAGGAGGGCCCAGUAUGCACUAGAGGCUUAUAAGUAAUACUGCUGGGGGCCAGGUGUGGUGGCACGCACCUGUAAUCCCAGCGCUUUGGGAGGCCAAGGUGGGCAGAUCACCUGAGGUCAGGAGUUCGAGACCAGCCUGGCCAACAUGGUGAAAUCCUGUCUCUACUAAAAAUACAAAAAUUAGCCAGGCGUGGUGGUGGGAGCCUGUAAUGCCAGCUAUUUAGGAGGCUGAGAUAUGAGAAUCACUUGAACCCAGGAGGCAGAGGUUUCAGUGAGCUGAGAUUACACUGCUGCACUCCAGCCUGGGUGACAGAGUGAGACUCCUCAAAAAAAACAACAACAACAACAACAAAAAGAAAUAGGCCGGGCAUGGUGGCUCAUACCUAUAAUCCCAGCACUUUGGGAGGCCGAGGUGGGUGGAUAACCUGAGGUCAGGAGUUCGAGACCAGCCUGGCCAACAUGUUGAAACCCUGUCUCUACUAAAAAUACAAAAAUUAGGCAGGCGUGGUGGCACGCACCUGUAGUCCCAGCUACUCAGUGGGCUGAGGCAUGAGAAUCGCUUGAACCCAGGAGGCGGAGAUUGCAGUGAGCUGAGAUCGUGCCACUGCACUCCAGCUUGGGCAACAGAGCAAGACUCUGUCAAAAAAAAAAAAGAGAAAGAGAAAAGAAAGAAAAAAGAAUGAAAGAAAGAGAA